GUGCCAGCAGCCGCGGUAAUACGAAGGGGGCUAGCGUUGUUCGGAAUUACUGGGCGUAAAGCGCGCGCAGGCGGUCUUUUAAGUCAGGGGUGAAAGCCCAGAGCUCAACUCUGGAAUUGCCUUUGAAACUAGAAGACUUGGGUACGGGAGAGGUGAGUGGAAUUCCGAGUGUAGAGGUGAAAUUCGUAGAUAUUCGGAAGAACACCAGUGGCGAAGGCGGCUCACUGGCCCGUUACCGACGCUCAGGCGCGACAGCGUGGGGAUCAAACAGGAUUAGAAACCCCUGUAGUCC
RNAcentral lists this ribosomal RNA (292 nucleotides) under uncultured bacterium. Its description in RNAcentral is "partial 16S ribosomal RNA". It matches the Rfam family "Bacterial small subunit ribosomal RNA", at positions 505 to 796 of the family's 1533-position model. The record is from RNAcentral.